CAAAGGCAUGGUCCCGGCCUUAUUAUCAGCUCUAGCCCAACUUACACAUGCAAGUCUCCGCACCCCAGUGAAUAUACCCUCCACCUCCACAUCAUCGAGAAAGAGGAGAAGGCAUCAGGCACAAACAUUUAGCCCAAGACGCCUGGCCUGGCCACACCCCCAAGGGUACUCAGCAGUGAUAAAUAUUAAGCCAUAAGUGAAAACUUGACUCAGUCAGGACUAAGAGAGCCGGUAAAACUCGUGCCAGCCACCGCGGUUAGACGAGAGGCCCUAGUUGAUAAAACCACGGCGUAAAGAGUGGUUAAGGGAACAUAAAAAUAAAGCCGAAUGGCCCCCUGGCCGUCAUACGCUUCCAGGCGUCCGAAGCCCCUACUACACGAAAGUAGCUUUAAAAACUAACCUGACCCCACGAAAGCUGAGAAACAAACUGGGAUUAGAUACCCCACUAUGCUCAGCCGUAAACUUAGACAUCCCCACACAAUAAAAUGUCCGCCAGAGUACUACGAGCACUAGCUUAAAACCCAAAGGACCUGACGGUGUCUCAGAUCCGCCUAGAGGAGCCUGUUCUAGAAUCGAUAACCCCCGCUAAACCUCACCACUUCUAGUUAUCCCCGCCUAUAUACCGCCGUCGUCAGCUCACCCCGUGAGGGUAAUAAAGUAAGCAAGAUGGGCACAGCCCAGAACGUCAGGUCAAGGUGUAGCGCAUGAAGUGGGAAGAAAUGGGCUACAUUUUCUACCACAGAAUAUAAACGAAUAUGCACCAUGAAACAGUGCUUAAAGGAGGAUUUAACAGUAAAGGGGAAAUAGAGUGUCCCCUUGAAUCCGGCUCUGAGACGCGUACACACCGCCCGUCACUCUCCCUAUAACACGCACCGAAAAUAGCUAAUACAAUAGCACCUGUUUAAAGGGAGGAAAGUCGUAACACGGUAAGUGUACCGGAAGGUGCACUUGGACUAAACC
Molecule: non-coding RNA, 960 nt
Filed under: Oliotius oligolepis (checkered barb)
Lineage: Eukaryota; Metazoa; Chordata; Actinopteri; Cypriniformes; Cyprinidae
Description: 12S ribosomal RNA
Rfam family: Bacterial small subunit ribosomal RNA
Source: RNAcentral